CCCUUAGAUGUUCUGGGCUGCACGCGCGCUACACUGAAGCGUUCAACGAGUAUUUCACCUUGCCCGAUAGGGUUGGGUAAUCUUUUUAAAAUGCAUCGUGAUGGGGAUAGAUUAUUGCAAUUAUUAAUCUUCAACGAGGAAUUCCUAGUAAGCGCGAGUCAUCAGCUCGUGCUGAUUACGUCCCUGCCCUUUGUACACACCGCCCGUCGCUCCUACCGAUUGAGUGCUCAGGUGAAUAAUUCGGACUGCAGCAAUGUUUGGAUCCCGAACGUUGCAGCGGAAAGUUUAGUGAACCUUAUCACUUAGAGGAAGGAGAAGUCGUAACA
RNAcentral lists this ribosomal RNA (326 nucleotides) under uncultured eukaryote. Its description in RNAcentral is "partial 18S ribosomal RNA". It matches the Rfam family "Eukaryotic small subunit ribosomal RNA", at positions 1470 to 1796 of the family's 1831-position model. The record is from RNAcentral.